AGGGUUUGAUUCUGGCUCAGAACGAACGCUGACGGCAUGCUUAACACAUGCAAGUCGAACGAAGGCCCGGGGCUUGCCCCGGAUCCCUUAGUGGCGAACGGGUGAGUAACGCGUGGGAAUCUACCUAAAAAUGGGGAAUAACUGUUGGAAACGACAGCUAAUACCGCAUAAUCCCUCAGGGGCAAAGGCUUCGGCCGUUUUUAGAUGGGCCCGCGUUAGAUUAGGUUGUUGGUAGGGUAAAAGCCUACCAAGCCUUCUAUCUAUAGCUGGUCUGAGAGGAUGAUCAGCCACACUGGGACUGAGACACGGCCCAGACUCCUACGGGAGGCAGCAGUGGGGAAUAUUGGACAAUGGGGGAAACCCUGAUCCAGCAAUGCCGCGUGAGUGAUGAAGGCCUUAGGGUUGUAAAGCUCUUUCAGAAGUGAAGAUGAUGACGGUAACUUCAGAAGAAGCUCCGGCUAACUCCGUGCCAGCCGCCGCGGUAAUAC
This 488-nucleotide ribosomal RNA is filed under the name uncultured bacterium. Its description in RNAcentral is "bacterial SSU rRNA". It matches the Rfam family "Bacterial small subunit ribosomal RNA", at positions 8 to 526 of the family's 1533-position model. The record is from RNAcentral.